GACGGUAAGGUAUUGGCUUACCGUGGCAGUGACGGUUAACGGGGAAUUAGGGUUCAAUUCCGGAGAGGGAGCCUGAGAAACGGCUACCACAUCUAAGGAAGGCAGCAGGCGCGCAAAUUACCCAAUUCUAACAGCAUAAGAGAGGUAGUGACAAGAAAUAACAGUACAAGGCAGUUAAAAUGCUUUGUAAUUGGAAUGAUAGAAAUUUAAAUACUUUUUAAAGUAUCAAUUGGAGGGCAAGUCUGGUGCCAGCAGCCGCGGUAAUUCCAGCUCCAAUAGCGUAUAUUAAAAUUGUUGCAGUUAAAAAGCUCGUAGUUGAAUUUUUGCUAAAAAUAACCGGUCUGCUUUUAUUAAUAAAAGUGGUAUCUUGGUGUGUUUUUAGCAAUAAUGUCCUUUGAAAUGUUUUUUACUUUAUUGUAAAAAGCAAUUUUCAGGAUUUUUACUUUGAGAAAAUUAGAGUGUUUCAAGCAGGCUAACGUUUUGAAUACUGCAGCAUGGAAUAAUAAAAUAGGAUUUUAGUUCUACGUUAUUGGUUUUAAGAACUAAAUUAAUGAUUGAUAGGAGCAGUUGGGGGCAUUUGUAUUUAACUGUCA
Molecule: ribosomal RNA, 593 nt
Filed under: Hepatozoon sp.
Lineage: Eukaryota; Apicomplexa; Hepatozoidae
Description: bacterial SSU rRNA
Rfam family: Eukaryotic small subunit ribosomal RNA
Source: RNAcentral